AACGAACGCUGGCGGCAUGCCUAACACAUGCAAGUCGAACGAGACCUUCGGGUCUUGUGGCGCACGGGUGCGUAACGCGUGGGAACCUGCCCUUAGGUUCGGAAUAACUCCCCGAAAGGGGUGCUAAUACCGGAUAAUGUCUUCGGACCAAAGAUUUAUCGCCUUUGGAUGGGCCCGCGUUGGAUUAGCUAGUUGGUAGGGUAAAAGCCUACCAAGGCGACGAUCCAUAGCUGGUCUGAGAGGAUGAUCAGCCACACUGGGACUGAGACACGGCCCAGACUCGUACGGGAGGCAGCAGUGGGGAAUAUUAGACAAGGGGCGAAAGCCUGAUCCAGCAAUGCCGCGUGAGUGAUGAAGGCCUUAGGGUUGUAAAGCUCUUUUACACGGGAUGAUAAUGACAGUACCGGGAGAAUAAGCGCCGGCUAACUCCGUG
Molecule: ribosomal RNA, 433 nt
Filed under: uncultured bacterium
Lineage: Bacteria
Description: partial 16S ribosomal RNA
Rfam family: Bacterial small subunit ribosomal RNA
Source: RNAcentral